CGGCGAGUGAAGCGGCAAAAGCUCAAAUUUGAAACCCUCGGGAUUGUAAUUUGAAGAUUUGGCAUUGGAGAAAGCUAACCCAAGUUGCUUGGAAUAGUACGUCAUAGAGGGUGACAACCCCGUCUGGCUAACCGUUCUCCAUGUAUUGCCUUAUCAAAGAGUCGAGUUGUUUGGGAAUGCAGCUCAAAGUGGGUGGUAAACUCCAUCUAAAGCUAAAUACUGGUGAGAGACCGAUAGCGAACAAGUACUGUGAAGGAAAGGUGAAAAGAACUUUGAAAAGAGAGUGAAAUAGUAUGUGAAAUUGUUGAUAGGGAAGGAAAUGAGUGGAGAGUGGCCGAGGUUUCAGCCGCCCCUCGUGGGCGGUGUACUGCCGACGCCGAGUCAUCGAUAGCGAGACGAGGGUUACAAAUGGGAGCGCCUUUCGGGCGUUCUCCCCUAACCCUCCACACUGCCACCGACAACAUAAUCCACCCUUUUCACCCGUCUUGAAAC
Molecule: ribosomal RNA, 492 nt
Filed under: Yarrowia lipolytica
Lineage: Eukaryota; Fungi; Ascomycota; Dipodascomycetes; Dipodascales
Description: partial large subunit ribosomal RNA
Rfam family: Eukaryotic large subunit ribosomal RNA
Source: RNAcentral